AGCAUGAAUUUGAGAAUGUUACCUGCUCAAACGAGACAUCCAUCAAAUUAAGUGCUUGAGACAUUUCAACCAUCCCAAGUUCACCGACUGGAGAUGGAGCAUUUUUUCCACCAAUUAUUUUAGGUGAGACAAAAGCAUAUACCUGUAUUACAUGUAUGAAGAAUAAGAGUAAAAUAAUAUGAUGCAAUACAUAAACUUAACUCUUAUGUUUAAAACAUUGCAAAUUAAAAAGAUAGUUAAAGAGGAAAAAGCUGACAUAAAAUUUAGAAAAUAAUAAUAUACUAAUAUUUAAUAAAAGAAAAGAUAAGUUCAGACAAACAAUAUAGAAGGGUAAACCAGGAAGGUGAAGAGUCGUGGACAUUGUUUAUCAUCAGAGACACUAGUCACGAUCAGGUAGUAUCCAAUUGCAUCCUUCUAGCCACCAGAGAACUCUUCAGAGCUCACUGGUAGGUUUGACAUGACCAGUCACAUUGCAUUUCCCACGACCACUCAGAGCAUCUAAGAUAAUCCAUUACCUCUCUGAAAUUGGUGAUCUGGAAAAUGGACUUUAUAUUCCAUUUGUUCUUGAUUAAGCAGGACAGGGCUCUGAUGGAAGUCCUCUUUAUUUUACUAAUGAAAAUGAUCUUUCAUCAAAAUAAAUAUAUAUAUAUAUGUACCUUAUGGAUUACACCGGCACCAAUAGCUGAUGCUGCUAAUUCUCCACCGCACUCCCAUAAAACAGACAAAUAGCCACGACUGUAACAAUACUCCAUAACCUCUCUCGGGUUCAAGACGUCAAAUUCUAUAACCUCAACACCUUUUGACCUAAGGAGUUCUUGGAAGUUCUUUCGAGCACCCCUUUGUGUUAGAACUAUAGUGUAUCCAUCAUCUACAUUCCAGAGAUUUGCCUCGUUGGGAAGGCUAAGAGUCCGUGACAUCACCAUUCUUACAGGAACAUGUGUCCCUCCAUGUCUUGCUGUUAAGUGGGGAUCUGAAAAAAACAAAUAAACAUAGGGAAUAUUUUAUAUGAGGAUAUAUAUAGUUAUUUACAAAUUGAUUUGGUUUGAUUAGUUUUUUUUUGAAACAGUUAAAUAUUUUCAAUUUUUCAUUAAUCAUAAUGAAGGAUAUUGCCUUGAUUACAUUGGGGAUAAGCAUAAGCAUAAAUAAGCAUAAACAAAUAGAAUAUGGUAAAGAGUACCAGACUCAUUUGACACUUUCCACACAACCAUACUGCCUAGUGUUGGGUACUAGGUUAUCUGUCUUUGGAGGUUGGUCUCCCAUAUUUGUAUCGUGCUAUGCCCCAAUGGAUGAUAAUUGACAACAGCUUUUCUUGAAGCCCUUAGGAUUGAAGGAAAAGCUUGUCAUUUAUGACCUCGUUGAGUACCGUUUCGGGUGGUCUGAGUGAGUGUUGCUACCAUCUCCAGUUUCUUUCUGCCCAUAUGUGCCAACUUAAGGCUCCAGUCGUGUUCCAUAAUAAACCCCAAAUUGGAGAGUGACGUGUUAGCUUUUGACAUGCCUCAGUAAGGUCACCUAGCCUAAUGUAUGGGUGUGUGGUUGUGGGUGUAGGAAUGUUCAUGAUUUUCCAGAAUAUGUUGUCUAGUUUUUCUAUUAAGGGUAAUAGAAUGGCUCGUGUAAGUGUAGUUGAAAAAUAGGUGACUUCUCGUUUCAUCUUCAAUGUUGCAUAAUAAGCAGGUGGCUUGGUUUAGCAUGCCCCACCCAUUUAGUCUGGUGAAAGUGUUUAUAUCAAAGUUUGAGUUGCACCAUAGCGCGUAGCGCCGGCACUUGGCGCUAUGGGGAGAUAGCGGGAGAUAGCGCGCUAUAGCGCCUACAUAGCGCCAAGUGUAUUUUUAAAUAUUCAAUAUAUUAUAAAGUAAUAGUGAAUAUCAUACUUAACUAAAGAGUAGUGAUCAAGUGUGAUCAUUAAUUUUAGAAUUCAAAAUAUUCCUAAAUAUUAAGUUUUAGGAGUCAAAAUGAUAGUCCAAAACUCUAAAUGUCUCAUAGAUGCAAAUCUAUUCUUCUUCUUCAAUUUCCUCUAGCAUUUGAGGUUGCAUCCUUCUUUUACUUCUUUGGUAGGUUCGUCGAAAUCUUUCACAAACUUCAUCAGAAAGAUGAGCUUGAGUAGUGAAUGGUCUUGCUUGACCACUCCUCGUAGAAGGCCCGGGAUGCUCUCCUGCUCCGACUGCUUCCUCUACCAUGCUCCAUGUCAAACCUUCCUUAAUGUAUACAAACUCCUCAGAUUCUCCUUCAAUAUUUAUCAUCCAUUCACUUGUAAGAUUUAAUUCUUCUAGACGGAUGGGGUCAAACUUUCCCUUGCCAUCUUCCUCAAGCAUUAUAUUUUUUUGUAAUCGUUCCUCAAGCUUUUUAUUAUAAUUCACAAACACCAGAUCAUCUAGUCGUUUGAUUUUCAAUCGAUUACGUCUCUUGGUAUGAAACUGCAAUUGGGGAAUACAAAAUUAAGAAUUGUAGAUCAAUUGAAUUUAAGAAAUUCAUACUAAUGAGGAUAAUACUUGCAUGCUCAAACGUAUUCCAGUUCCUCUCACAACUGGAUGCGGAACAACAAAGUCCAAUAAUCCUCAUGGCAUAGGUCCUCAAUUCAGGAGUUCUUGAUCCAAAAUGUUCCCACCAUCGAACUAAAUUCAGAAAACGCAUAAGAUCAUUGAAAUUCAGAUUGAAUUUCAGUUUUUAUGUACUAAAAUGAUACUUGCUAGGCUCUAAAUCCUCAAUUGCUAGUUCAGCCACUUUGGAAGAAAAUCUUCCGAAUUUGUUGAUGUAGAGGCUUGAAUCUACCACUGCCUUAGUUCGUUGGUGCACAUCUAGCAUCAUGUGUGCUAUACAAUCUUCAAAUGCUUCUUGACAAGUGCUGGCCAAUUCUGAAAAUUAUAUGGCAAAUCAUAUCUUUGCAAGUUGUAAAACACCCUAGGAUUUAGGAAACCACCAACCUUCACAAGAGGUGAUUGGUAAUGUUUUGCCUACCGCUUGUCCAUCAGAUUCUAAAUUGGUUUAUAUUUACUUUCAUCAUCGUCGGAAUUGGUUUUCACAGCACAUCUAGCAGCUUCGAAUGCACCAACUAGAUAUGGCAUAGUCGGUUUUGUGUCACCAUCAACCAUCCUCAGAACAACCAAAAUGGGUUGUGAAACUCGAAGCAAAUCCUCAAAAGUUAUCCAAAAACGGGUGUUGAUUAUUAAAUCAGAACCAUCUAACCCAUGACCUUUUCUAGCCCACUUUUCCCAAUCAAAACUCCUCAACUUGGAUUUGCUUUCAAAUAAACUUUCGAGAGUAAGAAAAUUUGUCGCAAACCUAGUUAUUCCGCAUCGUAUAAGCUCUUUUCUGUUGUUAUGUUUCAGCCAUGCAGAAUGUAGGGUGGUAUGCUGGUAGACGUGCAUAGAAAUCUUGCGACCAUUGCGAAUAACAUCAUUGUACAUUGGUAGCUUUCCAAUGUCUUCAAGUAAGAGGUCGAGAACAUAACCAGCACAUGGAGUCCAAAAUAGGUGAUGAUACUUGUCCAUUAGUAUCUUUCCGGCCGCCACAUAAUUGCUUACAUUGUCAAUGCAAAUCUAAAAUGAUAGAAAGGCAUUUUCAAGAUCUACAAAUGAUUAAUGAAGUACUACAAAUAAUAAACAUUUUACCUGAACCAUAUUGUCCUUGCCAACAAUCUCUAUUGCAUCUUCAAGACCUUUUGCAAUAAAAUUUGCAGUUUUCUUAUCGGCAGAGGCAUCUAUCGAGUGCAAAUAGAAUGUUCCCUUAGUAGAUUUCACCAAAAAAUUAAGGACACUUCUCUGUCGACGAUCAGUCCAACCGUCGGACAUGAUCGUGCAUCCUCCUUCCAUGCGAUCUCAUGUUUCUUUUUCAAUUCUUCAAUGCUUUUGACUUGGCGUUGAAGUAAGUUGUUGCGGAGCAUGUACAUGCUGAAAGGUCGAUAGUUCGGACCAUAUCGUCCAAUACCUUCAAUCCAUGCAUGAAGUGCUGGAUUGUUAAUGACAUUGAAAGGAAUUCCGGCUAUCACGAAGAACUCAGCUCCAACGUCAUCUAAAAUCUGCUUCUCUUGUUUCUUCGGGUGAUCAACUAUGGUGGUUUGUCUUUGCUUCAUAUGUUUCUCCUGUGCACGCUUUUGAAUAAUAGAUUGAAGUGUCACUCCCCUUUCCAAACCUAAGGGACCUUUCACCUUAAUCAUAGUUCCGGAUGCGUGCGCAUAUGCACGAAUGCACCUUGGAAGAGAGAUGCGCCAGGCGCAUCUCCCUUAGCAUGCGAUUUUUUUAAAAAAAAUAUAUAUAUAUUUUUUUUUAUCUUCCUUCAUCUUUUUCUCCAUCUCAUUUCAGAGAUUAGGGUUGUGUUUUUUUAAUUAAUUUAUUGUUUUUUUAGGGUUUUUGAAAUGGCUGAAUUUAAUGAAAACAAUGAGGGUGAACUCCAACCUGAACCUAUAGAUGUAAAUCAUUUGUUUUAUAAACGGCUAAAGAAGACACAGGAUCACCUAUAGAUCGUAUUAUGUAUUUCAAGUUUGAACUAGUCUAUGUGUUUUGAACUACUUUAACUAUUUUGAUAUAUUUUAUGAAGUAGAUAUAUUUUAGGUAUAUAAAAAAUAUAUGAAAACCUUUAUUUUUAUAUAUAUUUACGAAAAUGCCAUUGGCGCAAAGGCGCGCUUUUGCGCGCAAAAACACGCAAAAGCUCAAGUGCUCCAAGUGGUGCCGCAUCGCGCAGAGGCGCAUCCUGAACCUUGACCUUUAAUUCCCGAUGUAGAGGGUUUCCCAAUUGGAGUGCCACUUUUGGUUUCUACCUUCCGCUUCUUCUUUUGUGGAAUGGCUUCAACAUCCACAAUAGGAAUGGGCAUUUCUUUUUGUUUCUAUUAGAGAUGUAAAUAAGUGGGAGAGAUACUCGAUCCCUUUUCAUUCACAAUGAGUAUCAUAUAUAUAUAACUUAAUACUACAAUAACAUGUAUCAUAUCACUAAUUAGUAUCGUAUACUAAUUAGUGAUAUGAUACAUGUUAUUGUAGUAUUAAGUUAUAUAUAUAUGAUAUGAUAUAUAUGUAUCAUAUCACUAAUACACCCCCCUCAAGUCUGAUGAUGUGAACAAAUCAGCUUGUCCUUGAGAUCUUUGAAGAGUUUGGGCUUCAAUGCUUUAGUGAGAAUAUUUGUUUGUUGUAGAACAUUCGGUAUGUGUUGCACAACAACAGUUUUGUCCUCCAUUCUUUCUUGAACAAAUCUGAAAUCCAUGGCUGCAUGUUUGAUUUUAGAGUGAUAAACCGGAUUGGCAGUCAAAUGAAUUGCUCCUAAGUGCACAAACAAUGAAGGAUCAGAUUGACGCAAGGUUCCGGAUGCGCCUCUGCGCGAUGCGCCGCCACCUGGAGCAUCUGAGCAUAUGCACUCAGAUGCGCCAGUGGCAUUUUCGUAAAUAUUUAUAAAACUAUAGGAAAUUAAUAUUUUUUAUAUAUCUAAAUUAUAUAAAUUAUAUUGGAUAGAAAAAUUAUUAUAAUACAUAUAUUUAUUAAUUAUUAUAACACUCUAUAAUUCAUUGUAACACCAAGGUUUAAAAAAAAACACCAAGGUUUAAAAACCGGUUAACCAUUUAGGGGUAUUUUCGUAAUAAUAUAGCUCUAUAAAUGGCUAGGGUUUCUUUAAACUUAUAAAAGAGAGGCUUUUAUAAAAAGAAAAUAAUAAAUAACCCAAGAGACUUUUAAAAAAUAAUAAUGUAAUGGGCUGGGCUUUCUUUAAUACAUCUACAACAUAAAAAAUACUCUAUAAUAAUCAUUUAUUUAACCACACUUUUUUAGUCCCACAUCGAUAGAAUCAAGCUUGUUCAUGCGACGCCUAGGCGUCGCAUAUGCGACCAUGCGCUCCAGCACAUGUAGGCGUUUGCCUUCAUGCGCUCCAGCACAUGUAGGCGUUUGCCUUCAUGCGCUCCAGCACAUGUAGGCGUUUGCCUUCAUGCGCUGGAGCGGGUUAGGCGGGUCCGGGUCGGAUCUGACCUGGACUCGCCUAACCCAAUAGGUCUGUUUUAUUAUUUUUUUUAUUUUUUUUUUAUUUUUUUUUUAAUUUAAAUAUAAGGCCCAACCACCCAUUUAAAUAAGAGGUUGAGGGUUUUAAAAAACCCUAACCUCUUUUCUUUCUUGUUUCUUGCAUCUUUUUAACCCUAAAUUCAUAGAAGUCAUAUAAUCUAUGUAUUUACAUUUUAAAUUUUAGAUUAAUAGGGCUAUUACUUUGUAUUAGUAAUUUCAGGUUUUAAAAUUUAUGUAUAUAUUUUUUUAAAAUUACCCAUAUUUUUUAGCAAAUGUAUAUAAGUUCAGGGUAAAUUUGCAAAAUUUACCCUAUUUUCAGGCGACCGCCUAGGCGUCGCCUGAAGCGCCUAGGCGGCCAUGCGGUCAUGGCCAUCGGAUGACCGCAUGGUCGCCUAAAAAACCUUGGAUAGAAUUCAAAAAACACAAAGAAGGUUGGUCUAUAAAUAAAGAUUCAUUUUGACUAAAACAAAUAUGAAGUCUAAAGAGUGGGAGGAGCUUAUAUUAAAAAUAAUAUAGCUCUUUUCAUGGACCAAUGUAUAAAUUUUUAUGCUAAAAAUUUAUAAGGUCUUAAAAUAAAAUAAAAUUUGGCAUUUUUUUAAAAAUAAAAACAAAACACUGUUUUAAGUUAUUUAAAUAACUUAAAACAGGCCUGGAUCCGGGUCGGAUUUUACCCGGAUCCGGCUAAGGCGCAUCUCCCUAUAGGGGCGCAUCAUCGCAUAUGCGCGCGCACCCGGAACCUUGGAUUGACUUGAUAUAAAACCCAUUAAAUUCAACACCAUUUUUAGUCUGCGAAACCACAUCCUUGAAGAUUGUUUGAGACCAUAGAUAGCUUUCUUCAAUAGGCAGACGUGAUUUGGACAUGAUUCAUCCAUAAAGCCUCUAGGUUGACGCAUUAAAAUCCUCUCUUCCAAUUAACCAUGUAAAAAUGCAUUACCUAUGUCAAUUUGAUUAAGUUUCCAACCUCUUGAGACUGCAAUAGUUAAUACUGCACAAAUAGAUACAGAUUUUAUAACUGGACUGAAUGUCACAUUGUAAUCUCUGCCUUCAAUCUGAUCACUCCCAUUUGCCACUAGCCUUGCCUUCAAUCUGUCCACACUGCCAUCUGAUUUUUCUCUGACUUUAAACAGCCAUAUAAAAUUAAUCACAUUGUCUGUUGGCAUCCUUGGUACCAACUCCCAUGUGCCAUUAUUAACGAGCGCAUCAUAUUCUUUCUUCAUAGCUGAUUUCCAUCCUUCAUUCUUCAAAGCUUGCUUGACUGAAGAUGAAACUGAAAUUUCAGAAGCUAAUAUAGACAGUGCAUACCUAGGAUUAGGCUUCUUAAUCCCUGCAGCUCCUCUAGUGAAGGGGCGCCUCUCAUAAUCAGUUAAUUUUACUGAUUUUGAAAUUGAGAACUCAUCUCUAGAGCUUGAAUCUGAAGAAAUUAGUGAUAUGAUACAUAUAGAUAUAAUUAGCCAUCCUUGGAUCAAAUCCAGCAGCUCAUGUCCUCACAAGAUGACGACAAAUUGUGUGCGCCAAGCAAAGUAGUUUGAGCGGUCCAGCGUCACAAUCUUCAGAUGCUUGAUGAAAACUAUCUUGGAAGCAUCUGAAUUUGCGACUCCACUCCUAUCAACAAUGCCGUCCUCCAUUGCAGCGGAAUUCAAGAAAAUGAAGGAUUGUUGAGGAGAAAAUCCAGGAUCGAGGAAGCUCUCUUUCUAACAAACUGAUACUAUAUUAGAGAUGUAAAUAAGUGAGAGAGAUAUUCGAUCCCUUUUCAUUCACAAUGAGUAUCAUAUAUAUAUAACUUAAUACUACAAUAACAUAUAUCAUAUCACUAAUUAGUAUCGUAUCGUAUCGUAUCAUAUAUAUGAUAUGAUUAAUACUACAAAUAACAUAUGUCAUAUCACUAAUUAAUAUCGUAUCAUAUAUAUGAUAUGAUAUAUAUGAAUUGUCAGCAGAGAAAUUAUAAAUUAUAAAGGAUGUGAGCAUUGCAUAUGAUUCUACAUCCUAUAAGAAGCACAAUCUUUCACAGAUUGAAAUACAAGCUAUAUGCUCAUGGGAGUCCAACCUCUUGAGGCUUCAAUCCUUGGCCAGUUAGUCAGGGUAAUAGUUGCAUAAGAGAUAGACAAUGUUUUUACAUUUACUGUACUUGCAUUUCCCUAUAUUAUUCUGUAAUCUUGGGCUUUGCCCAACCUCUUUUUCAGUAAUGAAAGUUUUAAUUUCUCCAAAAAAAAAAUAUAUAUGAUAUGAUAUAUAUGUAUCAUAUCACUAAUACAUAGCGCGGGUAGAUAUCACCAGCUACCCGUGCUAUGGGCGAUAUAGCGCGCUAUCUCGCGCGAUACUCAAACAUAGGUUUAUAUGUCCCCAUUUUAUUUUCCAGAGGAGUAUGGAGAAUUUUGUGGGUUUGUUUGACCAUAUUCCCUCGCUAGAUUGUCUCUAUGGCUUUUAUCCCUAAUUAUCUCGGCUAUUUUUGCAAGUUUCUUGUUUGAGGUUCCAUUUUUCCACAGGAUUAUAUAAUUUGACCACACUCAAUUAGUGCAUCUGCUUUGGGACUAUCUCCCAAAUUUUCAGAAAUGGGAGUCUGUAGUGUUUUUUAUCUAAAUGCUUGAAAGGGCCCUUCCCUUUAUGUAUCUCCCUCUAGUAUUGAGUCUGAUUUUUCCCAAAAGUUUUCAAUUCUUUUGAUGUUUAUGGCAGGUACUAUGACGUCUAGGUUUCUUACCCCUAAUCCUCCUUCUGCUUUAGGUAGGAUCAUUUGUUUCCAAGGUAUUCUUUUUCUCAUAUCCCAUAUGAAGUUAUAUGCUAGUUUCCUUAACUUUUUUGUUAUAGGUUCAGGCAAAGUUGUGCCUUGGGGCUUGGGCCCAAUAGGUGUAUUUCCCUGCAAGAAUCCAGUUUACUAGCUGGAUUCUUCCCCCAUAUGAGAGACAUUUCCAGUUCAUUUUGCUAGCAUGUUCUCUAUUGGUUGUAUCAAUUUCCAGCACUGAUUAUAGGAUUUUUUCUUCCCUGUUAUUAGUAGGCCUAGGUAUGUGAGAGGGAGGGCUUUGAUG
Molecule: long non-coding RNA, 8989 nt
Filed under: Zostera marina
Lineage: Eukaryota; Viridiplantae; Streptophyta; Magnoliopsida; Alismatales; Zosteraceae
Description: long non-coding RNA (ZMAR_LNC003258)
Source: RNAcentral